UACGUAGGGGGCGAGCGUUGUCCGGAGUUACUGGGCGUAAAGGGCACGCAGGCGGUGCGGCGCGUUUCGCGUGACAGCGGAGGGCUUAACUCUCCGAGGAUGCGAAAGACGGCGGCACUUGAGGGCCAGAGAGGGACACGGAAUUCCUGGUGUAGCGGUGAAAUGCGCAGAUAUCAGGAGGAACACCGGUGGCGAAGGCGGCUUGCUGGGCCAGUUCUGACGCUGAGGAGCGAAAGCGUGGGGAGCGAACAGG
This 253-nucleotide ribosomal RNA is filed under the name uncultured bacterium. Its description in RNAcentral is "partial 16S ribosomal RNA". It matches the Rfam family "Bacterial small subunit ribosomal RNA", at positions 524 to 776 of the family's 1533-position model. The record is from RNAcentral.